This is a non-coding RNA of Triticum aestivum (bread wheat), 125 nucleotides long. The record is from Rfam. NCBI's taxonomy places the organism in Eukaryota, Viridiplantae, Streptophyta, Magnoliopsida, Poales, Poaceae.
UACAUACUCCCUCCGUCCUGAAUUACUUGUCACAAAAAUAGAUAAAAAUGGAUGUAUGUAGAACUAAAAUACAUCUAGAUACAUCCAUUUUCACGACAAGUAAUUCCGUACUGAGGGAGUAAUCA